Brienomyrus brachyistius is the source of this 350-nucleotide long non-coding RNA. RefSeq lists it as uncharacterized. The record is from RefSeq and is a predicted model, not a curated record. The transcript has 3 exons. Lineage: Eukaryota; Metazoa; Chordata; Actinopteri; Osteoglossiformes; Mormyridae.
AGAGACUAACGGCAGCAGACCAGAGAAGCAACAGAGACUCGCUGUUAGAAUAAUUUUCUAGUUUCUAAAUUUCUAGUGAAUUUCGGAUCUUUUCCAGUCAAAACAAUAUUGCAGAUUGUUGAAACGGUAGCGACCUUAACCAGAGAAAUUUUGAGACCUGUGCCUGAAAAUGGAAAUGUGUGAAGGGAAUCAGUGUGGAUGCCUAUUUCACAUCCCAAAGAGCAAUGUCUACAGAGGUCUGCAAUCGGGAUUCCAGUAUGACGUCACACAGCAGGCAGUGUUUUAACCUAGCAACAGUAUCUGCCUGGUCAUCUCAGCAUCAUCACAGGACAAAUCGUGAUAUCUACCAG